This 330-nucleotide unclassified non-coding RNA is filed under the name soil metagenome. RNAcentral describes it as "partial contains 5.8S ribosomal RNA, internal transcribed spacer 2, and large subunit ribosomal RNA". The stretch from base 1 to 120 matches the Rfam family "5.8S ribosomal RNA", at positions 35 to 154 of the family's 154-position model. The record is from RNAcentral.
GAUGAAGAACGUAGCGAAAUGCGAUAAGUAGUGUGAAUUGCAGAAUUCAGUGAAUCAUCGAAUCUUUGAACGCACAUUGCGCCCCCUGGUAUUCCGGGGGGCAUGCCUGUUCGAGCGUCAUUUCACCACUCAAGCCUCGCUUGGUAUUGGGCAACGCGGUCCGCCGCGUGCCUCAAAUCGACCGGCUGGGUCUUCUGUCCCCUAAGCGUUGUGGAAACUUUCGCUAAAGGGUGUUCGGGAGGCUACGCCGUAAAACAACCCCAUUUCUAAGGUUGACCUCGGAUCAGGUAGGGAUACCCGCUGAACUUAAGCAUAUCAAUAAGCGGAGGA